Molecule: ribosomal RNA, 472 nt
Filed under: uncultured bacterium
Lineage: Bacteria
Description: bacterial SSU rRNA
Rfam family: Bacterial small subunit ribosomal RNA
Source: RNAcentral
CAUCGUGACUCCUACGGGAGGCAGCAGUGGGGAAUAUUGCACAAUGGGGGAAACCCUGAUGCAGCCAUGCCGCGUGUGUGAAGAAGGCCUUCGGGUUGUAAAGCACUUUCAGUAGGGAGGAAGGUAGUGUAGUUAACACCUGCACUAUUUGACGUUACCUACAGAAGAAGCACCGGCUAACUCCGUGCCAGCAGCCGCGGUAAUACGGAGGGUGCGAGCGUUAAUCGGAAUUACUGGGCGUAAAGCGCAUGCAGGCGGCCUGUUAAGUCAGAUGUGAAAGCCCGGGGCUUAACCUCGGAAUUGCAUUUGAAACUGGCAGGCUAGAGUCUUGUAGAGGGGGUAGAAUUUCAGGUGUAGCGGUGAAAUGCGUAGAGAUCUGAAGGAAUACCAGUGGCGAAGGCGGCCCCCUGGACAAAGACUGACGCUCAGAUGCGAAAGCGUGGGGAGCAAACAGGAUUAGAUACCCUGGUAG